UGGCGGGCGGCUUUGCUCUGAGCUGCAGGAGGACACAGACCCCGUAGCUGAGCGUCAGACCCCACGGAGGCUUUUAUCCGCUGCGGGCAGCUCCUCCCCGUCCUGCACUGCGGGGCCAUUGGCUGGGGCCGGCGCGGGGGUCCCCACCGGCAGGGGAGCAGGAGGGGAGGCCAG
Long non-coding RNA from Egretta garzetta (little egret), 174 nucleotides. RefSeq lists it as uncharacterized. NCBI's taxonomy places the organism in Eukaryota, Metazoa, Chordata, Aves, Pelecaniformes, Ardeidae. The record is from RefSeq and is a predicted model, not a curated record. The transcript has 3 exons.